GACGAACGCUGGCGGCGUGCUUAACACAUGCAAGUCGAACGGAAAGGCCUCUUUCGGGGGGUACUCGAGUGGCGAACGGGUGAGUAACACGUGAGUAACCUGCCCUUGACUUUGGGAUAACUUCAGGAAACUGGGGCUAAUACCGGAUAGGAGCUCCUGCUGCAUGGUGGGGGUUGGAAAGUUUCGGCGGUUGGGGAUGGACUCGCGGCUUAUCAGCUUGUUGGUGGGGUAGUGGCUUACCAAGGCUUUGACGGGUAGCCGGCCUGAGAGGGUGACCGGCCACAUUGGGACUGAGAUACGGCCCAGACUCCUACGGGAGGCAGCAGUGGGGAAUAUUGCACAAUGGGUGGAAGCCUGAUGCAGCAACGCCGUGUGCGGGAUGACGGCCUUCGGGUUGGAAACCGCUUUCGCUCAUGACGAAGCUUUGUGUGACGGUAGUGGGUAAAGAAGCACCGGCUAACUACGCG
RNAcentral lists this ribosomal RNA (467 nucleotides) under uncultured bacterium. Its description in RNAcentral is "partial 16S ribosomal RNA". It matches the Rfam family "Bacterial small subunit ribosomal RNA", at positions 28 to 507 of the family's 1533-position model. The record is from RNAcentral.